This is a long non-coding RNA of Acanthochromis polyacanthus (spiny chromis), 516 nucleotides long. RefSeq lists it as uncharacterized. Lineage: Eukaryota; Metazoa; Chordata; Actinopteri; Pomacentridae. The record is from RefSeq and is a predicted model, not a curated record. The transcript is spliced from 2 exons.
UGGUCCAUAAGGCAUAACCAUCCUCUUGUGUCAGGGUCGGCUUGGCUUUGGUGUUCUGCUACUUGUUUCUCCUCUUCCUUCUCCCACUGCCUGGGUUUUGUUCCCUCAGCCUCUAAUCGGCUUUUCCGGGUUUGGGUUCGUCUCUUCCUAACUUUACCCUCUCUCGUCGCCACAGGAUUAUCCCUGUCAAAGUGGCUGGACUUCCUGGCUUGACGAUCCCUUUCGUCACCGCUAUCGUCACCUGAGGGUGUCUAUGUCCCACGAUGCAUUGCAAUCUGUCCGCACCCCUGGCCGCCGGUGGAACUGCAGUGACAUCUACUGAGAGAGGAGAGGAGAGGAGAGGAGGCGAGAGGAGAGGAGGAACAUGAAUCACUACAGUAUUGAAGUUCCAACAAAGAAUGACAGAGUGAAAAAGGAGCGAGAGCAAGAACCAAGUCACACCUUGAACCUUUAAUAUUACUCAUUCUGCUCUGUCCUUUAAUAUCAGCACAAAUAAACUUUCCUUUUUUUAAACAA